ACUUGCCAUUUCAGCAUCUUGAAAAGAAACCAAACAAAGAGAAAUGAAAGUGCAAGACUCAGUUCCUUCCUACAAACCAAAUCGUUCUGAAAGUUCCCUUUGACUCCUAGAUUUGAAGAGACUUAGCCUGCUUCCUGCCUCCAAUUGCUCUGCUAAUUUAAUCUGCUCAGUCUCUGAAGAGUCUAAAUCAUUGGCCUUUGGGGAGAGUAAUCUGAGCGAGAGGAGGAAGUCAUAGCGCCUUUUAUGUGCUCCCCUGGGAAGUCACAUGUCACUUCUGCCAUACUUUAUUUGUUGGAGGAUCUUAAGAAGCUGAGCGGCCCAGUGGGAGGUCCCUGCAUGGAGUUGUUCCCAAGCACAAUGCACAGCAGAGUGCUUCACCUGGGAGGGCUGGAGCCCGCCCUCAUUUCCAAAAGCAGCCUUCAGGAGCAGGGACCCCAUCAGCCACUCUGUCACAGUCGACGGAUGGCCAUUAGCUCUUUGGGCAAAUCCUUCUUGAGUUUCCACAAUAUGCCAAGCACUGAACCAGGCCUAGAGUUUACGAUGAUGAAUAAGCCAGCAAGGACACUGACCACAUGGAGCUCCAUCUUCCAGUGGAAAGAAGCUUCUAAACAGGUCCCCCAGCACAUAGAUGUAUAUUCUAGUUGUAGAUCCUUCUAGUUGUGGCAUGUGGGCCGCCACCUCAGCAUGGCCUGAUGAGCGGUGCCCUGUCUGCGCCCAGGAUCUGAACUGGUGAAACCCUGGGCUGCCAAAGCGGAGCACACGAACCUAACCACUCGGCCACGGGGCCAGCCCUUAAACUAAACAUUUUUUUAAACAAUCUAUUUGGUAUUUGGAGUUUUUGAAUUUGACUUCUAGCAAAGGAAGAAAAACAGAGGAAUGUCAUUAAAAAAUAAUUCUGAAAAUUUUUAGGUCUGC
This 915-nucleotide long non-coding RNA is filed under the name Equus caballus (horse). Its description in RNAcentral is "lncRNA (ENSECAG00000044559.1)". Lineage: Eukaryota; Metazoa; Chordata; Mammalia; Perissodactyla; Equidae. The record is from RNAcentral.